Long non-coding RNA from Pieris brassicae (large cabbage white), 632 nucleotides. RefSeq lists it as uncharacterized. The transcript has 3 exons. The record is from RefSeq and is a predicted model, not a curated record. NCBI's taxonomy places the organism in Eukaryota, Metazoa, Arthropoda, Insecta, Lepidoptera, Pieridae.
CACGACAACAAACCUUAUUACCAAAAGCAUUAUAACUUUGAGUUCACCAAUAAUAACAAUCCGCAAAAAUCAAAAGACAAGCUACCAACCAGCAAUUAGCCAAGUUAUAUCUAAAUGACCUAACUUAAGUUAAAAUAAAUAUAAUAAGAUAUAAUAUAAAGGAUAAAGCUCUAUGUUAUGACAAAAUAUAGCCUAUAUAAUAUGGUGCAAACAAUUAUAUGUUUUAAACAUGAGACACACAGCAUAUUCAAUACAAUAAAAAUUUACAAAGUUAACUGUUAAUUGUGACAGCAACCGCAAGAUCUUCAAUGGUCUUCUGAACUGCUUCCAUGGUGUCAAAUAAAAGUGAAAACUUGCACUUUGAAGGAGAGAAAGAUCCACAGGGUAUCAGGCACUCAAACACACAUUAGAAACUUCACAUAUACAUUUUAAUUUCAAUAAUUAAUAGAGAGCAAUUCAAAUGUGUGUAACUUGAACGACAUCUACUCACAAAAAAAAAUCGCUGUGUUCUGUUGCUUAGUGGCACUUGCCUUAGCUGCACCAAGAGCAGAUAGUGGAGGACACCUACCACUGCCCGCUCCUGGCAUUUCCUAUGGAGGCAUCCCGUAUGGCAGUAUGAGCGGUAACGUUGC